Molecule: non-coding RNA, 612 nt
Organism: Manis javanica (Malayan pangolin)
Lineage: Eukaryota; Metazoa; Chordata; Mammalia; Pholidota; Manidae
Source: RefSeq, a predicted model, not a curated record
AAAAUUCCAUAUGUGGCUUGUAUUAUCAUAUGGUGCUGUGUUAGAACCUGUUGCUUCUCUCAGCAGGAAAAGUUGAAGAAACUGAUGAAUGUCAAUGUGCAGAUGAGAUGACAUGACAGCUGCCUUCAGCCAUUUGGGUUUGGACAUUUUAUUUUAUGGCAGAGGAAUCUUGAGUAGAUACAUGGAUGUGUAUCUGCAAAGUACACAGGUAUCUGACUGUAGAGACCCUUGAAUGGAGGGAGCUAUUCUGACUGACUUGGACAGUGGUCAGGACUUGGACAGUGCGGUGCCACGGGACGGGUGGCUGCCAGACAGAGAACCAGACUGGCUGCACUUUCUUUCCACCUCUCUCCUACACCCAAAUGUGGAGACUUUGAGCAGAGGUUAAUGUAUCCUUUUCUCCUUUAAAAAAAUGUGUUCCCUGCUCAUUUCCAACACAGACUUAAGUUACGUGCAAAGAAAUCCCUGAAAUCAGAUACUUAAGCUAUGUGAAAGGAAUUCGGAGGAUUAUAAGCUAUCCACAUUUUUCUGUGGCAUGAAGAUUUUUUUUUUCAAAAAAAAAUUUUGGAGGGGAAUUUUUAAAUUUAUUAAUUCUCCCUAAUGCGUUGUUUA